Long non-coding RNA from Prionailurus viverrinus (fishing cat), 725 nucleotides. RefSeq lists it as uncharacterized. Lineage: Eukaryota; Metazoa; Chordata; Mammalia; Carnivora; Felidae. The record is from RefSeq and is a predicted model, not a curated record. The transcript is spliced from 3 exons.
CAGGCGCUGGGACUCCCGGAGGAGAUGACACAGCCACCGGCUGGCACUUGUCGGCUCGGGCUGCACCGAACAUCAGCGGUCAUGACGACGCUCCUCGCGUCCCCAGGGACAGUGGCGCCAAGCCCGUCCAGAGCUGCUCCAGAGAGUGAGGGACCCAGCACGGCCAUCUCUCUCCCUGCCUGUGGCUUGAUGGGCCCGCACUCUUGGCUCCCUGGGCAGAAAAGAUACGGAACUCCUCCUGGCGUGGCAGCACCAGUACCCCUGUGCCUUUGGCCUCCCUCCCCUGGUGGCGUGGAGCCCAGAGACGCCAACAUCCUCUCGGACUAAGGAAGCCCUUCCAGAACUUGCCACCAGCCCCGGAAUCCUGGCUGCUCCCCCAGUGAUGGAGCAUUGGACGUGGUGGCUCUCAGGGCUGAAUUCCGGAGUGCUAACGUGGACCAGGAAGUAAGGCUUAUGAGACUUGGUCUUCGAGUGCCCUCCUUUCUCCCUUGCUUUACACCUGAAUUUGGCCUCCUGCUCUACAUCUGCCCGCCAAAUGCCUCUUUUAGCCUCGCUGUUACCCCGCGGCGUCCCAUUGUUUAUACAAGUUAUUUCUCCUCCGCCAAGAAUUUCUUAGUACAUCAGUUAGAACGUAGGAUUUUGAGAGAUUCGUGCUGUCAUCCUUCCCCCGACUCCUGCACUUUAGUGAUUUGCAUGUAGAAGUUACUCAGUCCAGAUUUGUUGAA